CAGACUAUCGGGGGAGUGACACUGAUGCAAGUGAGUUCAGGAGAAGAGUCUUGAGGGAGUACACCAAUCUCAACUGGUUCGGAGUCAUCAGCUUCGGAGACGAUAGAGGCGGCUGUUGCAGACUCCAAGAAUACACCUACUUAAACUAUGGUCAAAACCAUGGACUAUCUCCUUAUGAGUACAUGGCAAAAAUUAUGGACUUUUCCACUGCAGGGAAAAAACUGGUCUUCAUCAGGGCAGAUUUCUACCCGAUUGCAUGUGUGAAUGUGAUCACGCGGAUAGCAUUCGGAAAAGGUAAACUUCGGAUAGUAGGCACAGCACACGUGAACAUAGACUUCAUGUUACCUCCUAUCAACAGAAUCAU
Molecule: long non-coding RNA, 364 nt
Organism: Symsagittifera roscoffensis
Lineage: Eukaryota; Metazoa; Xenacoelomorpha; Acoela; Convolutidae
Exons: 3
Source: RefSeq, a predicted model, not a curated record